CUCGGCAACGGAUAUCUCGGCUCUCGCAUCGAUGAAGAACGUAGCGAAAUGCGAUACUUGGUGUGAAUUGCAGAAUCCCGUGAACCAUCGAGUCUUUGAACGCAAGUUGCGCCCAAAGCCAUUUGGCCGAGGGCACGUCUGCCUGGGUGUCACGC
RNAcentral lists this ribosomal RNA (155 nucleotides) under Diplusodon subsericeus. RNAcentral's name for it is "5.8S ribosomal RNA". It matches the Rfam family "5.8S ribosomal RNA". From Rfam's summary of the family: 5.8S ribosomal RNA (5.8S rRNA) is a component of the large subunit of the eukaryotic ribosome. It is transcribed by RNA polymerase I as part of the 45S precursor that also contains 18S and 28S rRNA. Lineage: Eukaryota; Viridiplantae; Streptophyta; Magnoliopsida; Myrtales; Lythraceae. The record is from RNAcentral.